This 466-nucleotide ribosomal RNA is filed under the name uncultured bacterium. RNAcentral describes it as "partial 16S ribosomal RNA". It matches the Rfam family "Bacterial small subunit ribosomal RNA", at positions 28 to 505 of the family's 1533-position model. The record is from RNAcentral.
GACGAACGCUGGCGGCGUGCUUAACACAUGCAAGUCGAACGGAAAGGCCCUGCUUUUGUGGUGUGCUCGAGUGGCGAACGGGUGAGUAACACGUGAGUAACCUGCCCUUGACUUUGGGAUAACUUCAGGAAACUGGGGCUAAUACCGGAUAGGAGCUCCCGCUGCAUGGUGGGGGGUGGAAAGUCUCGGCGGUUGGGGAUGGACUCGCGGCUUAUCAGCUUGCUGGUGGGGUAGUGGCUUACCAAGGCUUUGACGGGUAGCCGGCCUGAGAGGGUGAACGGCCACAUUGCGACUGAGAUACGGCCCAGACGCCUACUGGAGGCAGCAGUGGAGAAUGUUGCACCAGGGGCGGAAGCCUGAUGCAGCAACGCCGCGUGCGGGAUGACGGCCUUCGGGUUGUAAACCGCUUUCGCCUGUGACGAAGCGUGAGUGACGGUAAAGUGUAAAGAAGCACCGGCUAACUACG